This 482-nucleotide small RNA is filed under the name Oryza sativa Japonica Group (Japanese rice). RNAcentral's name for it is "misc RNA Os10g0501401". Lineage: Eukaryota; Viridiplantae; Streptophyta; Magnoliopsida; Poales; Poaceae. The record is from RNAcentral.
CUCCUCUUUUGUACCACCGAUCAUGUCCUUCUUUGCAGGUUUGCAGAUAUAUAUAUCAUGAUGUUCAAUUUUAUGGAAUGGCGUUGGUUGGAAAUAUUUUCAGAUGUCCCUGUCAUAUGUUAAACGGAAUGGCUGAAUGAUGAUCAUAUUAUAAGGAUGGAUCUUUCUAUAUCCUUCAACCCUGUUGUUGUCAUCAAAUGGUGGCUUUUUCAUGUUAAGAGCGAAUUCAAGGUGGACUGGUGUUUUUUCAUAAUUCGUAAGAGCUGGUAAUUAUCACCUCAAAUUUGUUCAUUUUUAUGUUGGUUUCUUAAUCGUAUUGAAAUAGUUAAAUUUUACUUAUACCUUCACACUAUCAUCUGAGUCACUUUGUCUCAUGUGACCAUGACCUUUGAUUAUAGAAGGUCACCAACGGUCAAUGGUGGCCUGAUUGAGUUUGCAGUUUUAUGUAUAUGUAUAUAUCACCAACAAAAAUGUCGUUACAA